UACGGAGGGUGCGAGCGUUAAUCGGAAUUACUGGGCGUAAAGCGCGCGUAGGUGGCUUGGCACGCCGGUUGUGAAAGCCCCGGGCUCAACCUGGGAACGGCAUCCGGAACGGCCAGGCUAGAGUGCAGGAGAGGAAGGUAGAAUUCCCGGUGUAGCGGUGAAAUGCGUAGAGAUCGGGAGGAAUACCAGUGGCGAAGGCGGCCUUCUGGCCUGACACUGACACUGAGGUGCGAAAGCGUGGGUAGCAAACAGGAUUAGAAACCCGCGUAGUCC
RNAcentral lists this ribosomal RNA (273 nucleotides) under uncultured bacterium. RNAcentral describes it as "partial 16S ribosomal RNA". It matches the Rfam family "Bacterial small subunit ribosomal RNA", at positions 524 to 796 of the family's 1533-position model. The record is from RNAcentral.